AUGAGCAGAGCCCUACAGUCUUACUGUCCUUUGCUUUAUGCACAAAAAGCAAGUCUGGAUGCUGUACCGGAGGGAUUGCCUACGAGAGACCCUAUUUUAAUGUCUAUUAAAAUCUGUUUAAUCUUAACACUGCUCAUUAGAAACCAAAUCAUCUUUCUGCUGUCAGGAUCCUUACAAGGCUGGGAACUUGGCCCUUUUCAGGGAAUGAACUCAGAAGCCUCGAUAACCCAAGACGCUUCCUCUCCUACCCUUCCUAGCCCAAUUCGGAUACUCCUGCUCGAAUGCCACUUUCAUACAAAGGCUGGCUUCAGAGAAUGUGCGGAGGCAAGAUUUCAUUUUGAGAACUGGAAAAGACUGAAGCUCAAUUACAGAUGGCAGACCCUUGAAAUACUGGAGGUGACUCUUCAGCAAGAGGACCAAAUCCCUGCCCUAAAUACAGUGAUAGUAUUUGGGGUGUCUCAACCAUGCUCUCAUAGGUCCCUUUGCCUUCAUGAAGGAUGUGUGUUUGUCAGUCUCGAAAGACUCCGCACCUCCAGAAGCAUCAUCCAAUGACACCAGGCAAUGGGAAAGCUGCCCUUGAGGUUGGGAGCCCAUUUCUGCAAUCGAAUCUUCAUUGGAGACCCGCAUCCCCACUGCGAGAACCACUGCCG
RNAcentral lists this long non-coding RNA (650 nucleotides) under Apteryx rowi (Okarito brown kiwi). Its description in RNAcentral is "lncRNA (ENSARWG00000014816.1)". Lineage: Eukaryota; Metazoa; Chordata; Aves; Apterygiformes; Apterygidae. The record is from RNAcentral.